This 300-nucleotide long non-coding RNA is filed under the name Mustela putorius furo (domestic ferret). Its description in RNAcentral is "lncRNA (ENSMPUG00000025716.1)". The record is from RNAcentral. Lineage: Eukaryota; Metazoa; Chordata; Mammalia; Carnivora; Mustelidae.
AUGGUGUUCUCCAAGCACCUGAAGGCUACAGGAUCUCAGAGCAGUGGGGGAGAGGAAGGAAAGAACGAAUGUCCCUUGGAUUCCAGGCAUCAAGUAUUGUCACAGAUCGGCUUUUCUUUUCAUCCCCUCAGUAACACUAAGAAGAGAGUAAAAUUGUCCCACUUCUGCAGAGAGGAAAUUGAAGCUAAGAGAAGUGACUCACCUAAGGUCACUCACACCUGUGUCACCUGCCAGGAGGGACAGAUGGACUACGUGACAGAGGAAGCCCCCACGCGGUAUGGUCUACAUCCACUGGUGUGA